Molecule: ribosomal RNA, 425 nt
Filed under: uncultured bacterium
Lineage: Bacteria
Description: partial 16S ribosomal RNA
Rfam family: Bacterial small subunit ribosomal RNA
Source: RNAcentral
GUGGGGAAUAUUGGACAAUGGGCGCAAGCCUGAUCCAGCCAUGCCGCGUGAGUGAUGAAGGCCCUAGGGUUGUAAAGCUCUUUCACCGAUGAAGAUAAUGACGGUAGUCGGAGAAGAAGCCCCGGCUAACUUCGUGCCAGCAGCCGCGGUAAUACGAAGGGGGCUAGCGUUGUUCGGAAUUACUGGGCGUAAAGCGCACGUAGGCGGAUAUUUAAGUCAGGGGUGAAAUCCCAGAGCUCAACUCUGGAACUGCCUUUGAUACUGGGUAUCUCGAGUAUGGAAGAGGUGAGUGGAAUUCCGAGUGUAGAGGUGAAAUUCGUAGAUAUUCGGAGGAACACCAGUGGCGAAGGCGGCUCACUGGUCCAUUACUGACGCUGAGGUGCGAAAGCGUGGGGAGCAAACAGGAUUAGAUACCCGUGUAGUCC